GUGAAUCAUCGAAUCUUUGAACGCACCUUGCGCUCCUUGGUAUUCCGAGGAGCAUGCCUGUUUGAGUGUCAUUAAUAUGUCAACCUCUUCAAGCUUUUGCCUGUUGAGUGUUGGAUGUGGGGGUCUUUUUUGCUGGCUUCUCUUUCUGAGGUCAGCUCCCCUGAAAUGCAUUAGCGGGAACAAUUUGUUGAUCGUUCGAUUGGUUGUGAUAAUUUAUCUACGCUAUUGACGUUAAGCAGUUCAGCUUCUAACUAGUCCAUUGACUUUGGACAAAUUUUCAUUAAUGUGACCUCAAAUUCAGGUAGGAAUACCCGCUGAACUUAAGCAUAUCAAUAAGCGGAGG
Molecule: ribosomal RNA, 343 nt
Filed under: uncultured fungus
Lineage: Eukaryota; Fungi
Description: eukaryotic LSU rRNA
Rfam family: 5.8S ribosomal RNA (bases 1-71)
Source: RNAcentral